Molecule: ribosomal RNA, 254 nt
Filed under: uncultured bacterium
Lineage: Bacteria
Description: partial 16S ribosomal RNA
Rfam family: Bacterial small subunit ribosomal RNA
Source: RNAcentral
GACGUAGGAGGCAAGCGUUGUCCGGAGUUACUGGGCGUAAAGGGCGCGCAGGCGGCCGCGCUGGCCAUCCCGUGAAAGCCCCCGGCUCAACCGGGCGGUGGCGGGUGGGACCGCGCGGCUGGAGGGUGGUAGGGGCCAGUAGAAUUCCCGGAGUAGUGGUGAAAUGCGUAGAUACCGGGAGGAAUACCCGCGGCGAAGGCGGCUGGCUGGGCCAUUCCUGACGCUGAGGCGCGAAGGCCAGGGGAGCGAACGGG